This 373-nucleotide unclassified non-coding RNA is filed under the name soil metagenome. RNAcentral's name for it is "partial contains 5.8S ribosomal RNA, internal transcribed spacer 2, and large subunit ribosomal RNA". The stretch from base 1 to 120 matches the Rfam family "5.8S ribosomal RNA", at positions 35 to 154 of the family's 154-position model. The record is from RNAcentral.
GAUGAAGAACGUAGCGAAAUGCGAUAAGUAGUGUGAAUUGCAGAAUUCCGUGAAUCAUCGAGUCUUUGAACGCACAUUGCGCCCCCUGGUAUUCCGGGGGGCAUGCCUGUCCGAGCGUCAUUGCAACCCUCAAGCACGGCUUGUCUAAUGGGCGGUUCGUCUGCGGCCAUCCGCCGGAGACGCCCCCGAAAUGCAGUGGGGAUGUUCGCUAAAUCGCAGCGUCAGGAAUGGAAAUAAACAAUGCUGACGGCUCGAUGUCGAACGUCCACCUAAGGCGUGCCGCCCCCCCGGGGUGUGCCGCCCAACCUCUCUCGGUUGACCUCGGAUCAGGUAGGGAUACCCGCUGAACUUAAGCAUAUCAAUAAGCGGAGGA